This 402-nucleotide ribosomal RNA is filed under the name Verrucomicrobiota bacterium. RNAcentral's name for it is "Verrucomicrobia bacterium partial 16S ribosomal RNA". It matches the Rfam family "Bacterial small subunit ribosomal RNA", at positions 355 to 776 of the family's 1533-position model. Lineage: Bacteria; Pseudomonadati; Verrucomicrobiota. The record is from RNAcentral.
UGGGGAAUUUUGCACAAUGGGGGAAACCCUGAUGCAGCGACGCCGCGUGAUUUAGAAGGCCUUCGGGUUGUAAAAAUCUUUUCUAUGGGAAGAAAAUGACAGUACCAUACGAAUAAGGACCGGCUAAUUACGUGCCAGCAGCCGCGGUAAUACGUAAGGUCCGAGCGUUGUCCGGAAUCAUUGGGCGUAAAGGGUACGUAGGCGGAUAAGCAAGUUAGAAGUGAAAUCCUAUAGCUCAACUAUAGUAAGCUUUUAAAACUGCUCAUCUUGAGGUAUGGAAGGGAAAGUGGAAUUCCUAGUGUAGCGGUGAAAUGCGCAGAUAUUAGGAGGAAUACCGGUGGCGAAGGCGACUUUCUGGCCAUAUACUGACGCUGAGGUACGAAAGCGUGGGUAGCAAACAGG